This 232-nucleotide long non-coding RNA is filed under the name Elaeis guineensis (African oil palm). RNAcentral's name for it is "long non-coding RNA (EGUI_LNC035349)". Lineage: Eukaryota; Viridiplantae; Streptophyta; Magnoliopsida; Arecales; Arecaceae. The record is from RNAcentral.
CUCUCUCUUUUUUACUUUAGCACACAAUAUAAUUAUUAUGCUAUGAUAGUUAGAGGUCCUCCCUAUUUAUAAAUGAUUCACUAUGAUCCAUAAAAUUAAGAUUUUUAAUUUAAACAAGCUUUGAAUUAAUCCAUAACUUAUCAAAGAAGGAGUCCUAUUGGCGCCUAACUAGGUGCCCUCAUGCACCCACACCUACGCCCAAGUGUGGGGUGGCACCAUGCAGCACCCCACC